This 1058-nucleotide ribosomal RNA is filed under the name Triticum aestivum (bread wheat). RNAcentral describes it as "partial small subunit ribosomal RNA". The record is from RNAcentral. Lineage: Eukaryota; Viridiplantae; Streptophyta; Magnoliopsida; Poales; Poaceae.
CACGCGCCGGCCGUGGCUGCGGAUGGCCACGUGCCGGCCAUCCGGCGGCUCCCAGCGACCUACAAGGACGCCCGCGCCCUCCCUCAACCCUAGACGCCUCCAGAUCCCCCUGGCCUCCUCAUCCACUCCAACCCUUCUCCCUCUCCCUCGAUUUGGAGGAGAGGCCGCCGAGGCCGCUGCCGUGCCUCACUCGUCCCCACGACCACAGAGCCCCGUUCGCCUCACCAACGUGUUCGUCGUCUCCGCCAUCGUCUUCCUCGUCGUCCAGUGGCCUCAGCUGGAGCUGGGACGCACCGAAGCACCAGAUCCCCUUUGUCCUCAUCUCCGAUCGCCGCCGCUCUUCUCCGGCUCUGGCGAGGCCCUCUGCUUCCAUUAACCUGCUAAGGGCCUCCGUGUGAGCCGCAAGGUUUACAUGAAGAGGGAGAAUGCCGGCAGGUGGAAUUCCGGACUGGAAAAGGAGCAAAUAUUAGAGACCUAUUCUGCACAACUCCAAAAGUCCGGAAACUUCACGGAGAUUAGUUUUGGAAUAUAUUAAAAAUAUUUGGCGAAGAAAGCACCAGAGGGGGGCCACCAGUCAGCCACGAGGGUGGAGGACGUGCCCUACCCCCUGGGCACGCCCCUGCCUCAUGGCCCCCCUGGCAGGCCCCGACUCCCAUCUUCUGCUAUAUGGUGUCUUUUGCCCUAGAAAAAAUCAUAGAGAAGCUUUCGGGAUGAAGAGCCGCCGUCUCGAGGCGGAACCUAGGUAGGACCAAUCUAGGGCUCCGGCGGAGCUGUUCUGCCAGGGAAACAUCCCUCCGGGAGGGGGAAAUCAUCGCCAUCAUCAUCACGAUCGAUCCUCUCAUCGAGAGGGGGUCAAUAUCCAUCAACAUCUUCACCAGCACCAUCUCCUCUCAAACCCUAGUUUAUCUCUUGUAUCUGAUCUUUGUCUCAAAACCUCAGAUUGGUACCUGUGGGUUGCUAGUAGUGUUGAUUACUCCUUGUAGUUGAUGCUAGUUGGUUUAUUCGGUGGAAGAUCAUAUGUUUAGGUCCUUAAUGCUUAUUAAUACUCCUUUGAUUAU